RNAcentral lists this transfer RNA (70 nucleotides) under Leptomyxotermes doriae. RNAcentral's name for it is "tRNA-Val". RNAcentral also lists the same sequence under 1 other name. Lineage: Eukaryota; Metazoa; Arthropoda; Insecta; Blattodea; Termitidae. The record is from RNAcentral.
CAGACCAUUUCUGUUAGUUGAGGUUUCAUUUACGCUGAAUUAUUAUGUCGUGCGAUUCGACAUGGUCUGA